UACGGAGGGUGCAAGCGUUAUCCGGAUUCACUGGGUUUAAAGGGUGCGUAGGCGGGUAAGUAAGUCCGUGGUGAAAUCUCUGAGCUUAACUCAGAAACUGCCGUGGAUACUAUUUGCCUUGAAUAUUGUGGAGGUGAGCGGAAUAUGUCAUGUAGCGGUGAAAUGCUUAGAUAUGACAUAGAACACCAAUUGCGAAGGCAGCUCACUACACAAUCAUUGACGCUGAGGUACGAAAGCGUGGGGAUCAAACAGG
This 253-nucleotide ribosomal RNA is filed under the name uncultured bacterium. Its description in RNAcentral is "partial 16S ribosomal RNA". It matches the Rfam family "Bacterial small subunit ribosomal RNA", at positions 524 to 776 of the family's 1533-position model. The record is from RNAcentral.